Long non-coding RNA from Myotis davidii, 659 nucleotides. RefSeq lists it as uncharacterized. The transcript has 3 exons. The record is from RefSeq and is a predicted model, not a curated record. Lineage: Eukaryota; Metazoa; Chordata; Mammalia; Chiroptera; Vespertilionidae.
CGGGGCCUACAGUCGCGUCGGGAAGUGUCCCCGUGGGGAGUCCGUGCGCUGGCGGAGGCGCACCGUCCACAGGAAACUUCUGUCCGUUUUAGGGGCGGGAUGGCGAGGAGGAGGCUGGGAAAGUUAGUGUGAAGGUAAAGAUGCAGUCAUCGUUAAUGAAAACCAACCCCGAGAGAGAAAAUGGGUACGUGGGAAGCAUGGCGAGACCAUCUUCGUAAAAAAUAAAGCACAAACAGUCACGUUUAAAGUUCGUCGGGGCACGGAGACCUGUUGCUCGAGUUUGACAUCCCAGGAAUCUGGUCCUGUAAGGCUAGGAGAUGUGGUUAAAAAUAUAACAUGUUUGGACUGCACCUCAGAAUGGAAUUCACAGCGUUGGUAAGAAAGGACCCAGGAGGAUGCAUACCCAUGCGUUCAGACGGGCUGCUUGGGAAAGCACUGCUCCAGACUUCCCUCUGUACUUCCUUUGAACCCAUUGGGUAGAAUGCCAGGAAAAGUGAGCAUGGACACCUGAGAAGCCGUUUAUUAAAGAUGGCAGAGCCACAAGAUAGAAGGAGCCUGGGUCCCUGAAUCCACUCUUGGAGGAGAGAGACUCACCACCCAGGAACAGCAGUUUCAGAUUUGAAAACAAGAAAUAAACUUAUAUUGUAUUUAAGCUAUUA